RNAcentral lists this ribosomal RNA (388 nucleotides) under Chelonibia caretta. RNAcentral describes it as "partial 16S ribosomal RNA". It matches the Rfam family "Archaeal large subunit ribosomal RNA", at positions 2032 to 2625 of the family's 2987-position model. Lineage: Eukaryota; Metazoa; Arthropoda; Thecostraca; Balanomorpha; Chelonibiidae. The record is from RNAcentral.
GGUAGCAUAAUCAUUAGUCUUUUAAUUGGAGACUGGUAUGAAUGGCUAAACGAGAGAUCAACUUUUUUUACCGUAAAAAUUGAAUUUAACUUUUUAGUGAAAAGGCUAAAAUUUUUCAGAAAGACGAGAAGACCCUAUAGAGUUUUAUAAAGGACUAAUACUUUUUAUUUGGAUUUUUAUAAAAAAUAUUAAUAAAUUUAUUUUGUUGGGGCGACAUUUAGAUAAAAAAAACUCUUUAUAAGAAAAAUUUUUAUGAAAAUAUGGAUUGGUCCUUUUAAAAAGAUCAUAAGAAAAAAUUACCUUAGGGAUAACAGCGUAAUCUUUUUUGAGAGUUCUAAUCGACAAGAAGGUUUGCGACCUCGAUGUUGGACUAAAAUUAGGGCAGGGU